AUGGCACGCACACAUGAAAACAAACAGUUUCCUUCAUUUGCACAUGUUGCUGAUGACUCACAGAGCUUAAGAGUUUUUGGAUUCCUCUCCAGGGCGCUUAUCUGGUUUGUGCGAUUUUGUCUCUUGAUAAAACGUGUCUGUUUGUUUUAUCUAUUUCUUGGGGGGCCGUUUGAACUGCAGACAAUGACAGGCUGUCUUUUCUGUCCCGACGCCAACCGGCCACAAGGUGGCACUCACCCUCAACAAGCAACUAGGAGUUCACAAGACUUUUUUCCCCCUCCACACUGCUAUGAGCAUGCUGAUGUAUCAUGGUGCAAUGAAAAGGAGGAAAUGAGAGGGGGACAUAAAUGUGUUUGGUGCAUGCAGGGACUAAUGGAGUCUACCUUUGCCAGUACAUUAGGAACAAAACAAGAGAGGUGAGAAGAACAUGUAAUGCUAUAUGUAGGACACUGACCUAAACUGCUUGACCUCUGGCAAGGGCAGUCAAAGGUCAACUCACUUGACAUCUCUGCCCACAUCUUACUGAUGAACACACUCAGACCCAUCGGACGAGCACUUCGGCGCACAUCUGUGCGUGUGAGACAAACAAUGUCAAGUGCGGGCGUAAAAUGACACAUGGAAGUAAUCAGUUCAUCUCUGCUCUGGGCAAGAGGCAUUUUUAAUUUCACUGGAGGAUAAAAACCCAGCGGCAGAGGUCCAUCCAUUUUGUACGGUACCUUAAUUUCACACAGCCCACAGAAAAAUUGGCAGUCGAUUUGUUUUUUGAAGAUCCCUUCAUUGAUAGUAAUUAAAUUUGCUCUUGUCUCUCGUUUUUUUCUCUUUUCUCCAUAUCUCCUCCUCUCUUCCCCAUCUGUAUGCCUCUACUCCCUCUUCUCAUUCUCAUUCGCCAUCAUCCCUCACUGUCAUGCGGCCGCUCCGAGCCAUCGACCUCUGCUCUCAGCCCCGGUUCAGCAGCGGGUCACCGGAGGGAGGGGGGCUCGUGUUAUUGGGGGGUGCCAGCUUCCUUCCCUCACCGCGGAUACAGCUGCUGCUGCCAUGGCAACUGGAUUGCAGACUGUGCAAGGACCCGCGUGCAGAUACUUGCAGAGACUUACGGAGAAAGACGCUCUAAUGGUGUGUUAGAGGGCCCCGUUGUGCUUUAAAGCAGGUUUAACCGCAUAAGUGAAAAUGAUGCGGGACAUCCUCAGACUAGGACUUUUAUGUUUUAUUUGCUGCUCAGUACAGUCUAUUCCAAUAGGGUUUAGGAUUGUAAACUUCCCUUUCCUUUAUGGGAUAGGAAUAGAGUUUGGUUGGUAAUUUUUUGAUGGGAAAUCUAGGAUGUUGAUCAGGAAAAUGUCCUUUUAUGUCCUGGUUUAGGAGUUUAGGGAUGGCAUAUACCAGCUGAUAAUUUUUUUUUGUGUUGUAGUGAUAAUAACUGACAAAUUGCCCAUAUUAAAAUCUAAAAUACUAGAGUAAAAAAAAAGUACAAUUAUUAAAAUAAUCUUUUAAAUAUUAUCAGCUCAGUAUUAUUUUAAUG
Long non-coding RNA from Cyprinus carpio carpio, 1516 nucleotides. Lineage: Eukaryota; Metazoa; Chordata; Actinopteri; Cypriniformes; Cyprinidae. The record is from Ensembl.